This 385-nucleotide ribosomal RNA is filed under the name uncultured eukaryote. RNAcentral's name for it is "bacterial SSU rRNA". It matches the Rfam family "Eukaryotic small subunit ribosomal RNA", at positions 592 to 931 of the family's 1831-position model. The record is from RNAcentral.
CAAUAGCGUAUAUUAAUUUUGUUGCAGUUAAAAAGCUCGUAGUUGGAUUUCUUUUAUGUGAAAGGGUUCGGAUGCUUUGCUCACUCUGUGAGCGACAUCUUCCUUUCAUAUAAAAUAUUUGUGAUUUCUUGUAUUUAGAAGAUUCGUGUUUGUUAUUUAUUUAAUAAAUAUGGAGAUUUUAGUACAUUUAGGAAAUUGCAUCGUUUACUGUGAAAAAAUCAAAGCGUUCAAAGCAGGCUUUAAGCUCUCUGAAUGUCUCAGCAUGGAAUAAAUAAGAUAGGUCUCAUCCUCAUUUUGUUGGUUUGCAAGGAAGAGAAAUGAUUAACAGGGACAAUUGGGGGUAGUUCGUAUUAGGUUGUCAGAGGUGAAAUUCUUGGAUUUACUU